Molecule: ribosomal RNA, 435 nt
Filed under: uncultured bacterium
Lineage: Bacteria
Description: bacterial SSU rRNA
Rfam family: Bacterial small subunit ribosomal RNA
Source: RNAcentral
AUUGAACGCUGGCGGCAUGCUUUACACAUGCAAGUCGAACGGCAGCACGGGAGCUUGCUCCUGGUGGCGAGUGGCGAACGGGUGAGUAAUGCAUCGGAACGUACCCAGUAGUGGGGGAUAGCCCGGCGAAAGCCGGAUUAAUACCGCAUAUUUCCUGAGGGAGAAAGCGGGGGACCUUCGGGCCUCGCGCUACUGGAGCGGCUGAUGUCGGAUUAGCUAGUUGGUGAGGUAAAGGCGUCACCAAGGCGACGAUCCCGUAGCUGGUCUGAGAGGAUGAUCAGCCACACUGGGACUGAGACACGGCCCAGACUCCUACGGGAGGCAGCAGUGGGGAAUUUUGGACAAUGGGGGCAACCCUGAUCCAGCCAUGCCGCGUGAGUGAAGAAGGCCUCGGUUGUAAGUACGUACUUUCUACGGUAGGUAAGAAAGUACAAC